Molecule: transfer RNA, 74 nt
Filed under: Candidatus Heimdallarchaeota archaeon LC_2
Lineage: Archaea; Promethearchaeati; Candidatus Heimdallarchaeota
Description: tRNA-Pro
Rfam family: tRNA
About the family: Transfer RNA (tRNA) molecules are approximately 80 nucleotides in length.
Source: RNAcentral
GGACUCGUAGUGUAGUUUGGAAACAUGCGUGCUUGGGGUGUACGUGAUCGAGGGUUCAAAUCCCCCCGAGUCCA